GAUGAACGCUGGCGGCGUGCCUAAUACAUGCAAGUCGAGCGAACGGACGAGAAGCUUGCUUCUCUGAUGUUAGCGGCGGACGGGUGAGUAACACGUGGAUAACCUACCUAUAAGACUGGGAUAACUUCGGGAAACCGUAGCUAAUACCGGAUAAUAUUUUGAACCGCAUGGUUCAAAAGUGAAAGACGGUCUUGCUGUCACUUAUAGAUGGAUCCGCGCUGCAUUAGCUAGUUGGUAAGGUAACGGCUUACCAAGGCAACGAUGCAUAGCCGACCUGAGAGGGCGAUCGGCCACACUGGAACUGAGACACGGUCCAGACUCCUACGGGAGGCAGCAGUAGGGAAUCUUCCGCAAUGGGCGAAAGCCUGACGGAGCAACGCCGCGUGAGUGAUGAAGGUCUUCGGAUCGUAAAACUCUGUUAUUAGGGAAGAACAUAUGUGUAAGUAACUGUGCACAUCUUGACGGUACCUAAUCAGAAAGCCACGGCUAACUACGUG
This 497-nucleotide ribosomal RNA is filed under the name uncultured bacterium. RNAcentral describes it as "partial 16S ribosomal RNA". It matches the Rfam family "Bacterial small subunit ribosomal RNA", at positions 28 to 507 of the family's 1533-position model. The record is from RNAcentral.